CCAGCCUUCUGAAAGGAAGAUUAAUCCAGGAUGGGAUCAUGAGUUCACAUGUCCGCAUGAUUAAAGGUAUUUUCCGGUAGACGAUGGGGAUGCGUUCCAUUAGAUAGUAGGCGGGGUAACGGCCCACCUAGUCAACGAUGGAUAGGGGUUCUGAGAGGAAGGUCCCCCACAUUGGAACUGAGACACGGUCCAAACUCCUACGGGAGGCAGCAGUGAGGAAUAUUGGUCAAUGGGCGAUGGCCUGAACCAGCCAAGUAGCGUGAAGGAUGACUGCCCUAUGGGUUGUAAACUUCUUUUAUAAAGGAAUAAAGUCGGGUAUGCAUACCCGUUUGCAUGUACUUUAUGAAUAAGGAUCGGCUAACUCCGUGCCAGCAGCCGCGGUAAUACGGAGGAUCCGAGCGUUAUCCGGAUUUAUUGGGUUUAAAGGGAGCGUAGAUGGAUGUUUAAGUCAGUUGUGAAAGUUUGCGGCUCAACCGUAAAAUUGCAGUUGAUACUGGAUGUCUUGAGUGCAGUUGAGGCAGGCGGAAUUCGUGGUGUAGCGGUGAAAUGCUUAGAUAUCACGAAGAACUCCAAUUGCGAAGGCAGCCUGCUAAGCUGCAACUGACAUUGAGGCUCGAAAGUGUGGGUAUCAAACAGGAUUGGAUACCCUGGUAGUCCACACGGUAAACGAUGAAUACUCGCUGUUUGCGAUAUACGGCAAGCGGCC
Molecule: ribosomal RNA, 706 nt
Filed under: uncultured bacterium
Lineage: Bacteria
Description: bacterial SSU rRNA
Rfam family: Bacterial small subunit ribosomal RNA
Source: RNAcentral